Molecule: ribosomal RNA, 1315 nt
Filed under: unidentified marine bacterioplankton
Lineage: Bacteria
Description: bacterial SSU rRNA
Rfam family: Bacterial small subunit ribosomal RNA
Source: RNAcentral
GAGUUUGAUCAUGGCUCAGGAUGAACGCUGGCGGCGUGCUUAACACAUGCAAGUCGAACGAACCUUCGGGUUAGUGGCGGACGGGUGAGUAACGCGUGAGAAUCUGCCCUCAGGAGGGGGAUAACAGCUGGAAACGGCUGCUAAUACCCCAUAUGCCGCGAGGUGAAAUGAAUUUCGCCUGAGGAUGAGCUCGCGUCUGAUUAGCUAGUUGGUGUAGGUAAUGGCUCACCAAGGCUUCGAUCAGUAGCUGGUCUGAGAGGAUGAUCAGCCACACUGGGACUGAGACACGGCCCAGACUCCUACGGGAGGCAGCAGUGGGGAAUUUUCCGCAAUGGGCGAAAGCCUGACGGAGCAACGCCGCGUGAGGGAUGAAGGCCUCUGGGCUGUAAACCUCUUUUCUCAAGGAAGAAGAUCUGACGGUACUUGAGGAAUAAGCCACGGCUAAUUCCGUGCCAGCAGCCGCGGUAAUACGGGAGUGGCAAGCGUUAUCCGGAAUUAUUGGGCGUAAAGCGUCCGCAGGCGGCCCUUCAAGUCUGCUGUUAAAACGUGGAGCUUAACUCCAUCAUGGCAGUGGAAACUGUUGGGCUUGAGUGUGGUAGGGGCAGAGGGAAUUCCCGGUGUAGCGGUGAAAUGCGUAGAUAUCGGGAAGAACACCAGUGGCGAAGGCGCUCUGCUGGGCCAUAACUGACGCUCAUGGACGAAAGCCAGGGGAGCGAAAGGGAUUAGAUACCCCUGUAGUCCUGGCCGUAAACGAUGAACACUAGGUGUCGGGGGAAUCGACCCCCUCGGUGUCGUAGCCAACGCGUUAAGUGUUCCGCCUGGGGAGUACGCACGCAAGUGUGAAACUCAAAGGAAUUGACGGGGGCCCGCACAAGCGGUGGAGUAUGUGGUUUAAUUCGAUGCAACGCGAAGAACCUUACCAGGGUUUGACAUCCUGCGAACCUCUUGGAAACGAGAGGGUGCCUUCGGGAACGCAGUGACAGGUGGUGCAUGGCUGUCGUCAGCUCGUGUCGUGAGAUGUUGGGUUAAGUCCCGCAACGAGCGCAACCCACGUCUUUAGUUGCCAGCAUUUAGUUGGGCACUCUAGAGAGACCGCCGGUGAUAAACCGGAGGAAGGUGUGGAUGACGUCAAGUCAUCAUGCCCCUUACAUCCUGGGCUACACACGUACUACAAUGCUACGGACAAAGGGCAGCAAGUUCGCGAGGACAAGCAAAUCCCAUAAACCGUGGCUCAGUUCAGAUCGUAGGCUGCAACUCGCCUACGUGAAGGAGGAAUCGCUAGUAAUCGCAGGUCAGCAUACUGCGGUGAAUACGU